This 351-nucleotide long non-coding RNA is filed under the name Helianthus annuus (common sunflower). RNAcentral describes it as "sRNA HanXRQr2_Chr09g0374441". Lineage: Eukaryota; Viridiplantae; Streptophyta; Magnoliopsida; Asterales; Asteraceae. The record is from RNAcentral.
GGUUAAAAGGUAAACACUCACAAACCUAAUCGAUCAAUGAUAUAGCCAGAUUCGUGGAUGAUCACCAAACUUCUCAAUGGUUUUCCAGAUUUUGUUCAAACAUCGCGUUAUAUAAGAUAUCGACUGGUUACCCAAAGAUGCCGAACGACGAUGCAAGGUACUUCAAGGGAAGGGUGAUGACGUGGAUUCGUUAGCGAGCCACCAGAGUUGAGAAAACUGGUGAAAGAUCUGCAACAACCAGACAAAAAUAAAGAAAUCAUUACCUAUAUCACUUAAUUGGGUUAUGUUAUAAUACAACGUCAGAAUAGGUUCACGUUCACUAAAAGUGUAGUUUUAGUGCAUACUGUUCAU